Molecule: long non-coding RNA, 2007 nt
Filed under: Homo sapiens (human)
Lineage: Eukaryota; Metazoa; Chordata; Mammalia; Primates; Hominidae
Description: HSALNT0330397
Source: RNAcentral
CAGAGCAAAAACUUCAUCUCAAAAAAAAAAAAAAAAAAAAGAUGUAGGAAGCAAGUGAGGUAUGGCUUUGCAGAAUAAGGAUUUUAAAUGGAUUGGUGGUAUAAGCGGGCAAAAAAUAUUCCUGUGAUGGUUAAUUUUAUUUUUCAACUUGACUAAACCACAGGUACCCAUACAUUUGGUCAAACAUUAUUCUAGGUGUGUCUGUGAGGGUGUUUCUGGAUGAGAUUAACAUUUGAAUCUGAAGAAUAAAACAGGUUCCUCCUUAAUGCGAGUGAGUUUCAUCUAAUCUAUUGAUAACCUGUAUAGAACAAAAAACUGAGCAAGAGAUAACGUUGCCUGCCUGCCUGCCUACUUGAGACAUUAGUCUUCUGCCUUCAGAUUGGAAUUUAUAUUAAUACCAUCUACUCCUUGGUUCUCAGUCCUUCUGACAUGAACUGGAACAACACCAUCAGCUCUCCCGGAUCUCCAGCUUGCAGACAGCAGAUCAUGGGACUUUUCAGCUUCUGUAAUUGUGAGGUGGUUGAGAACCAUUGACGUAGACUGACUUAGCAGAUCUUCAAAUGUGAAUAGGGAAUCCUGCCAUUCCACUGAUGAGAACAGCAUGCUUAGGAUAUUGCUUCUGAGAAGAGAGGCAUCCUGUUGUAUGUAGUGGCCACAUAACAGACUGCAAAGAACUGGAACGCAGAGUAAUUUUAAUCCAAAAUGUUCAAAGGAUGAACAAAACUGCAAUAAAGCAGAGUAAGUAAACACAAAGAGUGGCCAAGAUGGCCAACUAAAAGCAGAUAGGAUGCGUGGCUCUCACAGAGAGGAAAGGAAGGAAGGGGCAAGUAAAUACAGCACUGCCAACUGACACAUCCAGACAGUCAACACUGGGACUAAUCAAGGAAACAACUCGACCCACAGAGAAUGGAGAAGAGCAAGGCAGGACGACGGCCCAUCUGGGAGCAGAAUGUGGAGCCAAGGGAACCUCCCUUGCCAAGGUAAGCAGCGAGUGAUUGUGUGAUCCCAGGAAAACUCUUCUCCCAUGGAUCUUUGCAACCCUCAGAUCAGUAGAUCCCUUCAUAAACCCACUCCACCAGGGCCUUCAGUCUGACACACAGAGCUACAUGGAGUCUUGGCACAGCAGCUUCUCAGGCACACAGGAGACCUGGGAACUUUAGAUACUCUGGUUUUCCAGGCUUCCCAGCACAAGUAGCUGCAACUCUGGCAAAGCAGGAGGUUAGACCACCAUAGAUACCCCUAGGAAAGUGGCUGAAUCCAGGGGGCAAAGCAGCGAUGGUCUGCGGGCCCUGCUUUUAUGGCACCUCACAGGAUAAGACCCACUGGGUUGGAAUUCCAGCCAGCCACCAGUAGCAGUGUUGCACCUACCCGGGACAGAGCUCCUGAGGGGAGGGGCAGGCUGUCAUCUUUACUGUUUGGAGAGUCCAAUCUGACUGGGGCAGAAGGGAUACCCCCUAGCACAACACAGCUGCUCUACAAAAACAUAGCAAGACUGUUUCUUUAAGCAGAUGCCUGAUCCUGUUCCUCUUCACAGGGAAGAACCUCACAACUGGGGCCUCCAGCCACCCCUGCCAGUGCUCUCCAGCUGACAGAGAUUUGAAAACUCCCUGGGACAGAGCUCCCAGAGGCAGUGGGGGGCAGGCUGCCAUCUGUGCUGUUUGGGUGGCUUAGUAGUUCCAGCCUUUGGGCUUUGGAGAGUCCAAGCUGACUGCGGGUGAAAGUAGUACCCCAGCACAGAAGGUCCCUGACCCCAUUCCUCAUCACUGGGUGGAGCCUCCCAACCAGGGUCUCUGGCUGACAGAGGUUUCAGGCCUCUCUGGGAUGGAGCUCCCAGAGAAAGAAGGAGGCUGCCAUCUUUGCUGUUCACAGCCUUCACUGGUGAUACCUCCAGGUACUGGAAAAUCUGAGGUGAUUAGGGACUGGAGUGGAUCCCCAGCAAACUGCAGCAGGCCUUAAGAAAAGUGGCCAGACUGUUUAAAACAAAACAAAAAAACCAUCCAGAGGUCA